GGGUUGUGAGGUUAAGCGACUAAGCGUACACGGUGGAUGCCCUGGCAGUCAGAGGCGAUGAAGGACGUGCUAAUCUGCGAUAAGCGUCGGUGAGGUGAUAUGAACCGUUAUAACCGGCGAUUUCCGAAUGGGGAAACCCAGUGUGUUUCGACACACUAUCAUUAACUGAAUCCAUAGGUUAAUGAGGCGAACCGGGGGAACUGAAACAUCUAAGUACCCCGAGGAAAAGAAAUCAACCGAGAUUCCCCCAGUAGCGGCGAGCGAACGGGGAGGAGCCCAGAGCCUGAAUCAGUGUGUGUGUUAGUGGAAGCGUCUGGAAAGGCGCGCGAUACAGGGUGACAGCCCCGUACACAAAAAUGCACAUAUUGUGAGCUCGAUGAGUAGGGCGGGACACGUGGUAUCCUGUCUGAAUAUGGGGGGACCAUCCUCCAAGGCUAAAUACUCCUGACUGACCGAUAGUGAACCAGUACCGUGAGGGAAAGGCGAAAAGAACCCCGGCGAGGGGAGUGAAAAAGAACCUGAAACCGUGUACGUACAAGCAGUGGGAGCCUCUUAAUGGGGUGACUGCGUACCUUUUGUAUAAUGGGUCAGCGACUUAUAUUCUGUAGCAAGGUUAACCGAAUAGGGGAGCCGAAGGGAAACCGAGUCUUAACUGGGCGUUAAGUUGCAGGGUAUAGACCCGAAACCCGGUGAUCUAGCCAUGGGCAGGUUGAAGGUUGGGUAACACUAACUGGAGGACCGAACCGACUAAUGUUGAAAAAUUAGCGGAUGACUUGUGGCUGGGGGUGAAAGGCCAAUCAAACCGGGAGAUAGCUGGUUCUCCCCGAAAGCUAUUUAGGUAGCGCCUCGUGAAUUCAUCUCCGGGGG
RNAcentral lists this ribosomal RNA (867 nucleotides) under Escherichia coli. RNAcentral describes it as "partial 23S ribosomal RNA". It matches the Rfam family "Bacterial large subunit ribosomal RNA", at positions 1 to 902 of the family's 2925-position model. The record is from RNAcentral. Lineage: Bacteria; Pseudomonadati; Pseudomonadota; Gammaproteobacteria; Enterobacterales; Enterobacteriaceae.